CCUACGGGGGGCAGCAGUGAGGAAUAUUGGUCAAUGGACGAAAGUCUGAACCAGCCAAGUAGCGUGAAGGAUGACUGCCCUAUGGGUUGUAAACUUCUUUUAUAUGGGAAUAAAACGUUCCACGUGUGGGAUUUUGUAUGUACCAUAUGAAUAAGGAUCGGCUAACUCCGUGCCAGCAGCCGCGGUAAUACGGAGGAUCCGAGCGUUAUCCGGAUUUAUUGGGGUUAAAGGGAGCGUAGGUGGAUUGUUAAGUCAGUUGUGAAAGUUUGCGGCUCAACCGUAAAAUUGCAGUUGAAACUGGCAGCCUUGAGUACAGGAGAGGUGGGCGGAAUGCGUGGUGUAGCGGUGAAAUGCUUAGAUAUCACGAAGAACCCCGAUUGCGAAGGCAGUUCACUGGACUGCAACUGACACUGAGGCUCGAAAGUGUGGGGAUCAAACAGGAUUAGAUACCCCUGUAGUC
RNAcentral lists this ribosomal RNA (460 nucleotides) under uncultured bacterium. Its description in RNAcentral is "partial 16S ribosomal RNA". It matches the Rfam family "Bacterial small subunit ribosomal RNA", at positions 338 to 795 of the family's 1533-position model. The record is from RNAcentral.